GUGGGGAAUAUUGGGCAAUGGGCGAAAGCCUGACCCAGCAACGCCGCGUGAAGGAAGAAGGUUUUCGGAUCGUAAACUUCUAUCCUUGGUGAAGAUAAUGACGGUAGCCAAGAAGGAAGCCCCGGCUAACUACGUGCCAGCAGCCGCGGUAAUACGUAGGGGGCAAGCGUUGUCCGGAAUGAUUGGGCGUAAAGGGCGCGUAGGCGGCCCGGUAAGUCUGAAGUGAAAGUCCUGCUUUUAAGGUGGGAAUUGCUUUGGAUACUGUCGGGCUUGAGUGCAGGAGAGGUAAGCGGAAUUCCCGGUGUAGCGGUGAAAUGCGUAGAGAUCGGGAGGAACACCAGUGGCGAAGGCGGCGUACUGGACUGUAACUGACGCUGAGGCGCGAAAGUGUGGGGAGCAAACAGGAUUAGAUACCCGGGUAGUCC
Molecule: ribosomal RNA, 425 nt
Filed under: uncultured bacterium
Lineage: Bacteria
Description: partial 16S ribosomal RNA
Rfam family: Bacterial small subunit ribosomal RNA
Source: RNAcentral